CCUGGUGGCUCAGACGGUAAGGCGUCUGCCUGUAAUGCAGGAGACCCGGGUUCAAUCCCUGGGUCAGGA
Molecule: transfer RNA, 69 nt
Filed under: Ovis aries (sheep)
Lineage: Eukaryota; Metazoa; Chordata; Mammalia; Artiodactyla; Bovidae
Rfam family: tRNA
About the family: Transfer RNA (tRNA) molecules are approximately 80 nucleotides in length. Their secondary structure includes four short double-helical elements and three loops (D, anti-codon, and T loops).
Source: Rfam by way of RNAcentral